This 243-nucleotide ribosomal RNA is filed under the name Triticum aestivum (bread wheat). RNAcentral describes it as "partial small subunit ribosomal RNA". The record is from RNAcentral. Lineage: Eukaryota; Viridiplantae; Streptophyta; Magnoliopsida; Poales; Poaceae.
AUGGUGGCCUUAAAGGAUAUUUUAAAUAGUUAUGAAGCGGCUUCUGGGCAACGUGUGAAUUUACAGAAAUCUUCAAUAUCUUUUGGCAAGGGGUGUGGGGAAGAUACAAAGGCAGAGUUGAAGUGUGCACUUGGGAUCGAUUCCGAAGCUCUAAGUGAACGAUAUCUUGGGCUGCCAACACUGGUUGGUCGUUCUAAGGAGGGCACGUUCAAGUAUGUGACGGAAAGUGCCAAGUCAAAAGUG